CGUCGCUAGGACGAACGCUGGCGGCGUGCCUAAUACAUGCAAGUCGAACGGUCUUUCUAUGGAAGCUUGCUUCCACUGAGAAGAUAGUGGCGAACGGGUGAGUAACACGUGGGUAACCUGCCCAUAAGAGGGGGAUAACAUCCGGAAACGGGUGCUAAUACCGCAUAGUUUUCUUGAUCGCAUGAUCGGGAAAGGAAAGACGGCCUUUGUGCUGUCGCUUAUGGAUGGACCCGCGGCGUAUUAGUUAGUUGGUGAGGUAACGGCUCACCAAGACGAUGAUACGUAGCCGACCUGAGAGGGUGAUCGGCCACAUUGGGACUGAGACACGGCCCAAACUCCUACGGGAGGCAGCAGUAGGGAAUCUUCCGCAAUGGACGAAAGUCUGACGGAGCAACGCCGCGUGAGUGAAGAAGGUUUUCGGGAAUCGUAAAACUCUGUUGUCAGAGAAGAACAAGUUGGAGAGUAACUGCUCCAGCCUUGACGGUAUCUGACCAGAAAGCCACGGCUAACUACGUGCCAGCAGCAGC
RNAcentral lists this ribosomal RNA (527 nucleotides) under uncultured bacterium. RNAcentral describes it as "bacterial SSU rRNA". It matches the Rfam family "Bacterial small subunit ribosomal RNA", at positions 26 to 518 of the family's 1533-position model. The record is from RNAcentral.